This is a long non-coding RNA of Sapajus apella (tufted capuchin), 107 nucleotides long. RefSeq lists it as uncharacterized. The record is from RefSeq and is a predicted model, not a curated record. Lineage: Eukaryota; Metazoa; Chordata; Mammalia; Primates; Cebidae. The transcript is spliced from 3 exons.
AGAAAGUUUCUUCAAUUUUUAUUAAAUUCAAUGGCUAUCACUCACAUAAUCAAAUGUCACAAUAUACAAAAGGUUGACCCUUAUAUUACUCCAUCAAAUAGUUCACU